This 404-nucleotide ribosomal RNA is filed under the name Verrucomicrobiota bacterium. RNAcentral describes it as "Verrucomicrobia bacterium partial 16S ribosomal RNA". It matches the Rfam family "Bacterial small subunit ribosomal RNA", at positions 355 to 776 of the family's 1533-position model. Lineage: Bacteria; Pseudomonadati; Verrucomicrobiota. The record is from RNAcentral.
UGGGGAAUAUUGCGCAAUGGGGGCAACCCUGACGCAGCAACGCCGCGUGCGGGACGACGGCCUUCGGGUUGUAAACCGCUUUCAGCAGGGAAGAUAGUGACGGUACCUAACCAGAAAGCCACGGCUAACUACGUGCCAGCAGCCGCGGUAAUACGUAGGUGGCAAGCGUUGUCCGGAAUUAUUGGGCGUAAAGCGCGCGCAGGUGGUUUAGAAAGUCUGAUGUGAAAGCCCACGGCUCAACCGUGGAGGGUCAUUGGAAACUAAUAAACAUGAGUGCAGGAGAGAAAAGUGGAAUUCCUAGUGUAGCGGUGAAAUGCGUAGAGAUUAGGAGGAACACCGGUGGCGAAAGCGGCUUUUUGGCCUGCAACUGACACUGAGGCGCGAAAGCGUGGGGAGCAAACAGG